Molecule: ribosomal RNA, 270 nt
Filed under: uncultured bacterium
Lineage: Bacteria
Description: partial 16S ribosomal RNA
Rfam family: Bacterial small subunit ribosomal RNA
Source: RNAcentral
GUCCACGCCCUAAACGAUGGAUACUAGGUAGAGGUCCCUGCAAGGGGAUCUUUGCCGUAGCGAAAGCGUUAAGUAUCCCGCCUGGGGAGUAUGGUCGCAAGGCUGAAACUCAAAGGAAUUGACGGGGGCUCACACAAGCGGUGGAGCAUGUUGCUUAAUUCGAUGCAACGCGAAGAACCUUACCCGGGCUCGAAGCGUACGGAUUAGCUCUAUGAAAGUAGAGUGACACCUUAACCGGUGGAACGUGCGUAGGUGUUGCAUGGCUGUCGU